CGCGUAGGCGGCUCAUGGUGUCGGAUGUGAAAGCCCGGGGCUCAACCCCGGAGGUGCAUCCGAAACUCAUGGGCUGGAGGUCGGAAGAGGAGGGUGGAAUACCCAGUGUAGAGGUGAAAUUCGUAGAUAUUGGGUGGAACACCGGUGGCGAAAGCGGCUCUCUGGUCCGAACCUGACGCUGAGGCGCGAAAGCGUGGGGAGCAAACAGGAUUAGAUACCCUGGUAGUCCACGCCCUAAACGAUGCGGGCUAGACGUUGGGGGGCUUGCCCCUCGGUGUCGCAGCUAACGCGUUAAGCCCGCCGCCUGGGGAGUACGGCCGCAAGGUUAAA
RNAcentral lists this ribosomal RNA (330 nucleotides) under uncultured bacterium. Its description in RNAcentral is "bacterial SSU rRNA". It matches the Rfam family "Bacterial small subunit ribosomal RNA", at positions 568 to 898 of the family's 1533-position model. The record is from RNAcentral.